RNA transcript from Gorilla gorilla gorilla (western lowland gorilla), 26356 nucleotides. It is a transcript of the gene named cytochrome b5 reductase 4, with no coding region annotated. The transcript is spliced from 19 exons. The record is from RefSeq and is a predicted model, not a curated record. Lineage: Eukaryota; Metazoa; Chordata; Mammalia; Primates; Hominidae.
AGUGGGUCGGGGGCUUGGCCUCUGCCCGGCCACAGAGCCGGAGCUGGAGGUGCUGUACCGUCCGGCGGCGAUACCCGGGCAGGGCCCGGGGCCGGGGUUUGAAGAUGCUGAACGUCCCUUCUCAGUCUUUCCCGGCCCCCAGGUCGCAGCAGCGUGUCGCCUCCGGGGGGCGUAGCAAGGUACCUUUAAAACAGGGCAGAAGCCUUAUGGAUUGGAUUCGACUGACCAAAAGUGGAAAGGAUCUAACGGGAUUAAAAGGCAGGUUAAUUGAAGUAACUGAAGAAGAACUUAAGAAACACAACAAAAAAGAUGAUUGUUGGAUAUGCAUAAGAGGUUUCGUUUAUAAUGUCAGCCCUUAUAUGGAGUAUCAUCCUGGUGGAGAAGAUGAACUAAUGAGAGCAGCAGGAUCAGAUGGUACUGAACUUUUUGAUCAGGUUCAUCGUUGGGUCAAUUAUGAAUCCAUGCUGAAAGAAUGCCUGGUUGGCAGAAUGGCCAUUAAACCUGCUGUUCUGAAAGACUAUCGUGAGGAGGAAAAGAAAGUCUUAAAUGGCAUGCUUCCCAAGAGCCAAGUGACAGAUACACUUGCCAAGGAAGGUCCUAGUUAUCCAAGCUAUGAUUGGUUCCAAACAGACUCUUUAGUCACUAUUGCCAUAUAUACUAAACAGAAGGAUAUCAAUUUAGACUCAAUAAUAGUUGAUCAUCAGAAUGAUUCCUUUAGAGCAGAAACAAUUAUUAAGGAUUGUUUACAUCUUAUACAUAUUGGGCUAAGCCAUGAAGUUCAGGAAGAUUUUUCUGUGCGGGUUGUUGAGAGUGUGGGAAAAAUAGAGAUUGUUCUAAAAAAAAAAGAGAAUAUUUCUUGGGACUUUCUUGGCCAUCCCCUGAAGAAUCAUAAUUCACUUAUUCCAAGGAAAGAUACAGGUUUGUACUACAGAAAGUGCCAGUUAAUUUCCAAGGAAGAUGUUACUCAUGAUACGAGGCUUUUCUGUUUGAUGCUGCCACCAAGCACUCAUCUUCAAGUGCCCAUUGGGCAACAUGUUUACCUCAAGCUACCUAAUACAGGUACAGGAAUAGUAAAGCCAUAUACACCUGUAUCUGGUUCCUUACUCUCAGAGUUCAAGGAACCAGUUCUUCCCAACAAUAAAUACAUCUACUUUUUGAUAAAAAUCUAUCCCACUGGACUCUUCACACCAGAGCUUGAUCGUCUUCAGAUUGGAGAUUUUGUUUCUGUAAGCAGUCCUGAGGGCAAUUUUAAAAUAUCCAAGUUCCAAGAAUUAGAAGAUCUCUUUUUGUUGGCAGCUGGAACAGGCUUCACACCAAUGGUUAAAAUACUGAAUUAUGCUUUGACUGAUAUACCCAGUCUCAGGAAAGUGAAGCUGAUGUUCUUCAAUAAAACAGAAGAUGAUAUAAUUUGGAGAAGCCAAUUGGAGAAAUUAGCAUUUAAAGAUAAAAGACUGGAUGUUGAAUUUGUUCUCUCAGCACCUAUUUCUGAAUGGAAUGGCAAACAGGGACAUAUUUCACCAGCUCUUCUUUCUGAAUUUUUGAAAAGAAAUUUGGACAAAUCCAAAGUUCUCGUCUGCAUUUGUGGACCAGUGCCAUUUACAGAACAAGGAGUAAGGUUGCUGCAUGAUCUCAACUUUUCCAAAAAUGAGAUCCAUAGUUUUACAGCAUAAUGAAGAGCUGUCAUUGUCCUUUAUUCAACUAGUUUAUCUAAACUUGUGAUUGCUUAGGGUUUUUUGAGAGAACAUUUUUGUACAUAACAAAAGGUUAACUAGAAUCCAGCCUUCAGUUUCUUAAAUGAAAUCAAAUGUUCCUUCAGUACAGACGCCCAGCUUGUGAAGCUUCCUAUGUGCAAAUGGCUUGUUGAACACUAUCACUUUUUCCUGUGCCUCUGUCUUCUGUAGCCAAUUCCACCAUCAUCAUUAUUCACAAAGACAGGAAUCUAGCUGUCCUGGACUGGUACUGUUCCCUGCUUCUGAAAACUUCACAAGCACUGAAAAUCCUAGAAUAUGAUAUAUUUUAGGAGGUUUAUGAAAGGAUGGAAUGGACCCUGAAAAGCACUCUUGAAUACAGAACCUGAAGAUCGGAUCUUCUGAGAACCUCAGAGAAAGACUGCCCUUGGCAUCCACACUGCAGCAAAACUUCAGGACCUUGAACCUUGGGCUAAUAAUUUCACAACUGAGACGGCUUCAUCUACACCCUUGGAACUAUACCCAUUGGAACCCUUAAGGUAAAGCUAACCAAGGAAGUUUCUACCCAGAAGAAGAUUGCAUCCUUGAUAUGAACAGCUUUUUCCCAAGAUCAUGCAUCAAGACUUCUCUACUAUCAUGAGACUCUUAUCUUUGAAUCUUUUUCCCUUGCUUAUGCCUCUAUGAACAAUAGAAGUGAAAAGGGGGUCUGUUGUGUGUACUAAUUGUGUAUACUUUGAUUUGUGAAGGAUUUUGAAGCCAGCCUUAUACAUGGUUAAGCUUAUACCUUGAUAGAUGGAAGAUGAGGCGCAAUGAAGGUAAGAAAUUUUAAAGGUACAUAUGUGGCCUCAUAGUCAGUCAGAAAUAACACAUUGGUUCAUUCUUCUUAACCCACAUCAUGGGUUAAAGAGAACAAUGCCAGGAGGCCUUCACUCUUCUAGAAGGGCAUUAUUUAUUAGGUCCUUUUCCGCCACAGUUUGGGGUAAAAGAGACAGUGACUAGAAAUUUAUCCCUCAUAAUAAGCUCUAUAGCAGAUUCUAUUGUAAAGGCUAUGGUUGCAAAACAGACUUUAAAUUCUCUUGUGAAAGUUAUGCUAAAUAAUGGAAUUGCUGUAGAUUACUUACUGGCUAAACAGAGAAGUAUCUGUGCAGCUGCUGGCACUUGUGGCCUGUGGAGAAAUACAUCACAUCAGGUAUUACAGAGAUUCAGCUGUAGGGGAUUAAUGAAGAGACUGCUUAGUUAAGUAGGCAGACCCUUUAUCUAGCUUAUUCUUUGAUCUAUUUAAUUUUAGGUGGUUUGGGUAUGGGGAUCUUGGGUAACUCUUCGUGUUAUGCUCCGAUAUUCAUGAUAGUAGUCUCCCUGGUAUACUGUAUUCUCUUAAAAGAUUUAAAUUUUUGCAUGCAGCCAUCUGUAGAAAGUCAAAUGGUCUCUCCAACUGGAAUGACAAGAGCUGAAAGAAAUGUGUGACCAUGAGGGCACUGUAACCUAUAAAUGACAUGCUGAGACCAGAAACCCAAAAUGAUAGUAACUAAGAGUGACACAAAAGCCCUAAGUUUUGGUCACACUCUCACCUAAGUGAGAACCUGACCAAAAAGGGGAGUUUUUUAACAAAAUUUUGGGAGGCCAUUGUUUUUGACUGAACUCAUGCACAAGGCCCCAACAGAGCAGACCAAACCAAAAUGGAGUCACUCAUACUACCUGUGACAUAAUCAAACUAAGACUUCAAGGAAACACACAGAUCCUAGAAGAGACCAGGUUUUGGGUUUUUUUCUCCUGUUUCUCCUGUUUGUUUGUUUGUUUGUUUGUUAACAGGGGAAAAAACCCCAAACCUGGUCUCUUCUAGGAUCUGUGUGUUCCACCAUAGACUAGAAGGUCCCUCCUUGUCCUAGAGAAGAUCUAGAACACAUUUCUAGGACAGAAUGUAUAAGCCAGCCUUAUACAUGGAUAAACUUAUACCUUGAUAGAUGGAAGAUGAGGCCCAAUGAAGGUGAGAAACACAUAUCUAUGACAUUCCAGCAUAAGAAUCUAAGGUAUAAUUCCUACAUGACAGGAAUCUGCUCCAUUAACAGUUGGUAGAUCUCACUUGUAAAACUGUUUCAGCCCUCUUCCCCGAACCCAAGAGCAGUUUUUAAAAUUCCUUUAUAGAUUAUCUUUAAUAUUUUUAAGUCUAUUUGGUUCUGUGAUUUUUUUCUUUGAAUCAUUUUUGCUAACAUGUUACCUAGAAAAUGGUUUAUUGAAUCUAACUUUUCUAAUUUAUUGGCAAAAAAUUUGUUCACAUUGUUUUAUUUUUGGUAUUCUUUCUAUAUCUGCAGUUAAAGCCAUUUUUUUAUUUCUACUGUUUACCUGCUCUCUCUCUCUCUCUCCUCUCAUUCAUCAAUACUUUCAAAGUUUUAGUUAUUAGCAUUUUUUAAAGAAUUAGUCUCUGGUUUUGUCAUUUCUCUCUAAUGUACUUUUGUCUUCAAUAUCAUUACUUUUGCUCUUACCUUUGUUAUCUAUGAAAUGCAGCUGCUUUGCUGUGACUCCUUUUAUUCCUAGGACUAGGGAGCAGAGCUUGAGAGGAGGAAGAAGAAAGUGUACUAUUUUUGAAAUGAAAUUAAGCCAAGAAAAAUUGAGGCUGGCAUUUCCUCUGAGAGGUGCUAGACUCAAGUUGUUCUUUAAAGGAAAAAUUUUGAAACCCUUCUUUGGAGCUUUUGGAGAGCCCUAGAAGGUAUGUUCCAAGGGAAUAUUUUCAGAGAAUGUUAAUGUUGUUUUUAUUGCAUAACAAAUUUCUAUGUAACCUUAGAGUCAAGAGAAAAAGGAUCUUCUAUUUUCUUAAAACACUGAUUCACUGCGGAGGUCAUAAAUGCUAAAUCACAGCAUGGCAGGCAAGUGAAAAGAAAAUAAGAAAGCAAUGACUAUCUACAUAAUUUAUUUCUAAAUCAUAGUCCAUGGGCUGAUUUCUUUUAGCAUUUGGCACUUUGCCAAGCUGAUGAACCCCCUAUCCACAUGAAGUCAAGACCCACAGAUAAUAUGGAUUUCCCUUUCUCCAGCAUUGGCAAGCACCUAAGUAAUAUGGAAGUAUUUGGAAGAGCUUGUUUAUGUAUGUCUGUAUUGUCACCCAUCAAUUUGAUCUCUUUGGUGACUUAGAAUUCCUGAUGUCCUCUGAGCCUACUCUGGGGUAAUAGUUCCAUCCCUCAGUGUAAUGGAAUUUUUUAUUUUAAUGAAAAAGUUCUUAGUGUAAUUAGGCAUGCAAAUAAAUAGACCAGCAAUUAUGGUGCAUCAUAAUAAAUGCUACAUUAGAAAUAUGCAAAAGUGAUAUGAGAGGUAGAGACAGAAUCCCUCACUCCAUAUUAAGGAAUCAUAACAGGAUUCCUGGAAGAGGAACUGAAGCUUAAGUUAUAAAGGUUAGCUUUACCUUGAGGCAAGGUUAUCUGAAAGCUCUUUCAGACUGGGUAUAAAUGGAUAUAUUAAUCUGUUCUCACGCUGCUAUAAGGGCAUACCUGAGACUGGGUAAUUUAUAAAGUUCCACAUGGCUGAGGAGGCCUCAGGAAACUUACAACCAUGGCAGAAGGCACCUCCUCACAGGGUGGCAGGAGAGAGAAUGAGUGUCGAGCGAAGGGGGAGGCCCCUUAUAAAACUAUUGUAUCUCAUGAGGACUCACUGUAACAAGAAUAGCACAGGAAGAACUUCCACCAUGAUUCAAUUAUCUCCACGUGGUCCUGGCUUCGACAGUGGCGAUUAUUACAAUUCAAGGUGAAAUUUGGGUGGAGACAUAGAUCCAAACUAUAUCAAUGGGUAAGAGGAGUUAAGGCCGUAGGAGUGAAGGGAUUGGUGGAGCUCUGUAAAGGCAGUAAGGCCAGGUACAUGGAGGAUCCAGUGUUCCCAUCUGCUAAAAUGCUCCAGUCAUGAGAAAUGAGGCAAGAGAUGAGAGGAAGGGUGAGUAGCAAAGCAUAACUUUUCUGAAUUGGAAUAGCUGAUCGUGCCUUCUGGCACAGAAGAUGCAUACCCAACUCUCAGAUCUCACCUAGAGGAAACAGUUCUGCCUCACUCAACCAGAGUUACUCCAAGUAUGAGCCAUCUGCUCUCAUCUCACCUGGCUGGCUUGCCCUGUCUCAAAUGACUAAUGUCAAGGUAAGAACUCUCUUUCCAUCUAGACCAUGCCAUUUGCUGAUCUUUUCCCCUACCUCAUCAUUUCUAGAACAAGUGAGUCAGACCAGGGUAAUCAGGGAUGGGGGCUUCAGCUGAUCCAGUCAGGAGAAAGCCAGGCCUCAGGUCAUUAAAGCCAGAAGAAGGCCAUGCUGGCUCACCACUAGGCUGAUCCCACAAUGUCCUUGGGGCAGCAAAACAGGGGCCUUGAGUAUCCUAUUGAAAGAAUGUUCUGUUUCAAAAAUAUCCUCAAAGCUAUUGUCCUAGGAAAUAUAAGAAUGUUGUGUUAUAAUUCCUUACACUUACAUUAGUUUAUAUAAAGAUCUUAAUCUGGCCCUAGUUGAAGGUUGGUGUAUUGAGACCAGGCCCCUCAUUUAAAGUGUUUCUGGAACAGAAGGGCUGGAGUGAGAAGUCCAUGGGGGACCUGUUCUCAAGAAUAACUGAGAUCUGUAGCAAUGUUGUAAAGCGCUUUCACAAACUGCAUGUCAUGUCUUCCUCACUAAAACUUACAAACUGCAUUGUAUUAAUAAUUCUAGAACUGGAAAUACCAUUUUACCCAGCCAUCCCAUUACUGGGUAUAUACCCAAAGGACUAUAAAUCAUGCUGCUAUAAAGACACAUGCACACGUAUGUUUAUUGUGGCAUUAUUCACAAUAGCAAAGACUUGGAACCAACCCAGAUGUCCAACAAUGAUAGACUGGAUUAAGAAAAUGUGGCACAUAUACACCAUGGAAUACUAUGCAGCCAUAAAAAAUGAUGAGUUCAUGUCCUUUGUAGGGACAUGGAUGAAAUUGGAAAUCAUCAUUCUCAGUAAACUAUCGCAAGAACAAAAAACCAAACACUGCAUAUUCUCACUCAUAGGUGGGAAUUGAACAAUGAGAUCACAUGGACACAGGAAGGGGAAUAUCACACUCUGGGGACUGUUGUGGGGUGGGGGGAGGGGGGAGGGAUAGCAUUGGGAGAUAUACCUAAUGCUAGAUGACGAGUUAGUGGGUGCAACGCACCAGCAUGUCACAUGUAUACAUAUGUAACUAACCUGCACAAUGUGCACAUGUACCCUAGAACUUAAAGUAUAAUUUAAAAAAAAAAGAAAAAAGAAAGCAAAAAAAAUAAUAAUAAUUCUUACUUUGCAGAUGGGGAAAUAGAUGCCAGGGGAAGUCGCAUAAUUAACCAAGUUCCUUAGCUGGUGGGAGUAACAUUUAGAACUCAUAUCCAGAUCUCUUGACUCCUGAGCCCACAGCUUCAGUCUCUACCCAAGGCCGUGGUCUUGUGAAACUCUUAUAAGCUCAUAAUUGUUUCACCUCAGCUAUGAGGGUGUGUGCUGAAGGACAGAAAAUCUAGCCCUUCAAGGUCUGGACUUAUGAGUCCAAGGCAAGAGCAAAGUUAGCUGAACUCAGGCUGAGCUAAUAAAUUGAUUUUGCACCCCUUAUAUUCAUUCAGCUAAGGCCAGAAUCAUGCAGCCUGGAUGUACAGGUGGGGAUGAGGUGACCCCAGAUGGCAGAGCGCAGGAGUAGGUGGGGGGUGGAUAAUUACAAUAAGACUUUGCCUUAUCUCUUAAGUAUUCUUGUCCUGUGGGGUGACCUUGAGAAAUUGUUCUACUUCCCUGUCUCUCUAGCUCUGCAAUGAAUUGAAUAUGUGAGUGCCUGUGCUGUGAAGAUGUAGGGAUGCUCCCUGUCCUCAGGAUGCUUACAUCCAGAAGAAUGCAUUUUAAAAGGUCUAGGUAUAAGGGAGAAUGUGUUUCAUUUUUGUUUUGUAGAAUCGUUAAGAAACCUAUUCUUCUGGGAAACACAGACGAAUAACAUGUUAUUUUAGAUUUGAACAUUUGUAAAGAUUUUGGAUGGAUUUGGUAUUUGAGCUGCUUUGUCAGGAAGUAGGAUUUUGAUGGUCAGGGCUGAGGACAGACUGGGGAGCAAAUACAAGAAUGUGAAAAAGCCAGGCGUGCAGUCUCUCUCUCUCUCUCCUCUUCUCUCCACCCCUCUAGUAGUUCUGUUUCUCUGAAGAAUCCUAAUGUGUACCCCAACUGUUUCCAAAAUGAUUUUGAGAUUGCUAAGCAGCCACAUUCAGUUGAAACUGGCUUUACAUUUUGUAGGUUUAAGCAAUUUUGGGGGCAAUGAAUGUACCUUCAAUAGACUUUUGAGUGUCAACCUUUAUUUUCUCCCAGUCCAUUGCUUACAGUCCCCAGGCUACUGCUGUUCUGUCUAAUGAUCCUUACAGUAAAUACACUAAAAGAAUAGACAAUGUAUUUAACAGAGACUGAUCCCUGGAGUCUGCACAUAAGAUUUAGUCUGCAGUUGAUACUAAUAAACAUGAACACAGCCUACACUGCUGUUCCAUCUGCCUUAAGGUUUAGAUAGCCUAUGUGAGAAUGAAGUGGCCCCUCUGAAGGAAACAGGAAACUUAUACAGUAAAAUGUAAUUAAACCAGGAUAAGCAGCUAUCUUGGAAACUGUGGCAAGAAGCUUACAGAAAAUUUUGGAGAUGUCGAUAAGGGAGACAUGGAGAGUAAGGGGUGGGUCACUGUUUCUCCAAGGCUGAUAAAUCAUGGCUCCAAUGUGGACUUGGUGUCAGGCCUCCCAAAUGAUGCUGCUCCUCACCACACACACACACAUACGUAAACAUACACACACACAUACACACACAGGGGGAGAGAGAGAGUUUUAAAUGUCCAUGCAACCUGGAAGACAUACUUCUUCUUCCUGGGGCCCAGUUUUCUCAUCUGUAAUAUGAUAGGAGUAAGCCAGACGAUCUCUAAGUUCUUUUCCAAUUCUGGCAUUCUAUAACUCUAAAGUUUGUUUUCUCUAAUCAGUUCUGUGAUUUGGAAGACAAUGAGUUGAUAAUCCAGUGGGCUAUGACAGUUAUAGUUCUCUUAAUAAGUUAAAUUAGAGUAUUCAUGUUUUGGCAUAUUCACAUCCACGUUUGCAGACUCUGAUUAGCAUGGACAAUUUUCUCUCCCAAAUCACUUCCACACAAACUUAUCAAAUCAUCUGACUAGUCGCACGCAUCCUGACCAUAUCACAUCACAAGGCGGCAUGCAUUAAGGCAGUUAUAACAUCCCCCAAGGUAUUUGCACAAUGACUGCUCACCGUAGGGAACAGGCUUCCCUCUGCAACAAACAAGGAAAAUGUCUUUUAAAAUGCUCUAAAUAAUACAUGUGAAAACCUAGGCAAUACUCAAGGUAUAAAGGAAAAAAGCAAAAAUGGCUAAAUUCCCACCACUCAGAGAUUAUCACCAUGAACUUGUCAGUGAACAUUCUAACAUAAAUUUUCUAUGUUUAUAUAUACACACACAUAAUUUUGUAUAAGUGGGAUCAUAUUAUAUAUGCAAUUUUAUAAUAAUUUUUAAACCUUAUGAAAACUUUUAUGUUUUAAAUUAUAUCUAAAACUUACUUUACAGUCCAGUAAUAUUUUAAUACAGAAUUUUUAAAUUGUAGUAUAUUUUUCUUGUAUUUAAGGAAAGAUUAUUGGUCUACAAAGGGGAGAUUAGAAGACUUGCUUUCUCAACCCAUAGUUGUACCAUCUAUGUCUAAAGAUACUGAAAAAUGUGAAAACUGACGUAACAGAGAAUUCUGACUUUCUAAAGAAAUCAUGCAAAACUUUACAUGAAACAAACAAAUGAUGAAAGCUAUCAUCAUUUGUGAGUUUCCCUCACUUUUUAGAUGUUAAUAAUUUGCCAUAGUGGGUCUUACGAAAAACCAAAAUUUCAGAUGAUAUAGCGUGUCAAUUAAGUUGUUGUCAAUUUUGAGGGCAAUGACUCAUAGUUUAAAGAAGGAAAAUUGAAUAUUUUAAUUGUAGACUUGAUGAGCUCUUUAAAUGCCAGAAAUGAUUUGUUACAAAUUUUUGAACUAGAAAUGAAAACUCCCUGAAGCAUCUUCUAGGGUAAAUAGUCAUACUGCAUUAACCGUAAGAGCAUAACCAAUAACUUAGAGACCUUUUACAAUUUUAAAAUCAAAUAUUGCUGAAUGCCUGCUGGAUGAAAAGUAAAUAAAAGACGUUACAGCAGGAACACUUUCCAAUAUUACAGCAACUCAGUGAAUUUCACUUCUGCUGCAUCCUGAAGGAAGAUGGUUGUCUCAGGAAAAUCAAUUUGAGUUGCAAGCUGAGCUAGCUGCUUUAUUUACAGAACACCAUUUUUACUUGAAUGAACAAGGAAAAUACAAACUAUGGUUAUUCAGUUGUGUAUUUUGGCAGAUAUUUUCUGGAAAAUUAACAAAGUAGCCUGUCACUGCCAGGACUAACAUUUUUUGUUAAUGUUGCUGAUUUUGUGUUUUGUGCUAAUGAUAAAAUUUCAACUUUUAAGAGAUUAGAAUUUUGGAAAAGUUUUAUCUUCCACUGUGAAUUUGUCCGCUUCACAAUGCUUGAAGACAUUUUUAUGAGAUUUAUAGGUAUUCAUAAAUGUGAUUUAUUUAUUAUUAUUUUUUUUUUUUUGAGACGGAGUCUUGCUUUGUUACCCAGGCUGGAGUGCAGUGGAGUGAUCUCAGCUCACUGCAACCUCCCAGGUUCAAGCAAUUCUCCUGCCUCAGCCUCCCCAGUAGCUGGGAUUACAGGUGCCCACCACCACACCCGGCUAAUUUUAUAUUUUUAGUAGAGACAGGUUUUCACCAUGUUGGCCUGGCUGUCUCGAACUCAAAUGAUCUGCCUGCCUCAGCCUCCCAAAGUUCUGGGAUUACAGGUGUGAGCCACUGUGCCCAGCCAAAAAUGUGAUUUUUUAAAAUAUCAUUUACUUUUUGAUAUCAAUAUUCAAAUUUAUAUUUACCAAUAUGUAAUCUUGUAAAAAAUAUACAUGAGUAAAGAUCUAUUCAAAGUGCAAGAUAGACCAGUGGAUUUUAAUGUUACAGAGUACCAAAAGUUCAUUGCUAAUCAUUUCACAUCCCACAAUGAAGCUUACUUUUCAGAAACUACCGCCUGUUGAAAUUUGAUGUUAUGUCAAAGAAGGCUAUCCACAGUUAUAAAAGGCUACUUAAAUGCUUCUGUCCUUUUCAAGUAUAUGUCUCUAUGAAGUUUGAAUUUUUUCAAACCAAAUAGCAUAUUGCAACAGAUUGAAGCAAAAACAAACAUGAGAAUCCAGCUGACAGUAAAGAGACGUGCAAAGAUGUAAAACAAUGCCACGCUUAUCACUAAAUGUUUUUGUUUUAGAAAACACAUUUGUCAUAAAUAUGUUAAUUAUGUCAACAUGCAAUUGGCUUAUUGUUAUUUUGAAUCAAUCAAAUAUUUUUAAAAUUCAGUUUUAUUUCUGAUAUCAUAACUGCUGAUAAAUAUAAUCCACAGAAAUGAAAGCUGUUUAGAGUCCUCAAUGAUUUUUAAGAGUUGUAAAAUGGUGUUGUGACCAAAAUAUUUGAGAACCACAAAUCUAAAGUAAAUCCUAAUUUACCCAAUUUAUUUAAUGGAUACCUUGAUUUAAAUUGCCUAUUUCUUUACCUUGUCUAUUAAAAAGCUAUACCCUACUAAUGAAAUAAAAAUCAAUGUAUCCUUUUUCAUAAAAGAACAAUUGCUUAAGCAAUAAUGUUGAUUUGGAGUUUAAAUGUAUGGUUCAAAUAGUACCUAUAGUUUUUUUUUUUUCUUUUUAAGGAAUUUGAAGUCAAAAUUUAUAUUUUCAUCUCCUGUUAUUUUUUAAUUUUAAUAUCAGUUUAGCAAUAGGGAAACAUUGACUUAUUUGAUUAAAAUGGUUAAGAUCCACACUGAAUGUGCAUUACUACUAGAUCAUGGACAAACUUAUUCCUUUCUAACUUACAAUUUAGCAUUCGUUCAUUUUUAAACAAGUUUGAAUGUAAAUUAUUCACUGGGCUUCUCAGAAGGAAUUUGUACUUUCAGUUAGGGAUAUUAUUAAAUCUUAAAUUUGUAGUGUAUGGUCUAUGGUUUAUUAUUUUCUCCCCUGGCAUUCAGCAAAGUUCUUGACGCAUAAGACAUACUCAGUAAAUGUUUGUUGGACGACUGACGGAUAAAUGAUGAGCACAUGAGUGAAUAAAUGAGUAAAUGAGUGAAUGACUGCAUUUUUUAAUCAAAAAAGUAUGUUUAGCCAUAUGCAUAUUUUAUGACAAAUUAGAAACAAGAAUGAUCCUUUGAAUAUGUAUGCCCCACCAGGCAGCCACCUCUGGUUCAGAGCCUCCUUCCCGACCCCAGGCUAUUCUGACCCUGAUAGCCUAAGUGCUGUUCCUACCUUUACUUGGACUUUCUUUCUUUCUUUCUUCCUUUCUUCCUUUCUUCCUUUCUCCUUUCCCUUUCCUUUCCUUUCCUUGUUUCAUUCUUCUUGCCCAGGCUGGAGUACAGUAGCAUAAUCUCGGCUCACUGCAACCUCCACGUACUGGGUUCAAGCAAUUCUCCUGCCUCAGUCCCCCCGAGUAGCUGGGAUUACAGGCGCCUGCCACCACACCCAGCUAAUUUGUGUAUUUUUGGUAGACACAGGGUUUCACCAUGUUGGCCUGGCUGGUCUCAAACUCCUGACCUCAGGUGAUCUGCCUGCCUCGGCCUGCCAACGUACUGGGAUUACAGACAUGAGCCACCACGCCUGGCCACCUUUCCUUAGACUUUCUUUAUGCCCCGUUUAGCCUGGACUUCUGCGUGCCACUUGCUCCUGUCUGACUCUUCACUGACAUGACAUAGCCCAUUAUCUCAUGUUAGGCUUUUCUUGGAAACAGCGCAGGAUGAGGAUAAAGAAGAGAGUGGACUCAGGAACCUAACUCCUAGCCUGGCUCUACUACUUCCUGGCUGGCUAACUUUGAGCAAAUACCUUUGUUCCCCUCCUCUGUAUGGUAGAGAUCAUAAGAGCAUUACCCUCAAGGGGUUAUCAUGAGAAUUCCAUGGGUGAGUCUUUGUAAAGUGAUUAGAAUGGUGCCUUGCACACAGUAAGCUCUUUAUAGAUAUUUAUUAAAUAAAUGUAAAAGUAUAUAAGGACAGCAUGACGUGGCUGGCCUUUAGAAGCCUGUUAGACUUCAGGUUGAGUGAGGGUGUUGGAAGCCCCUUUCCCCAGACCUGCCUACCCCAUUGUACAGCUCUUUGGACCCAAGUUCUGGCUCUUCACAGAUGGGCUUCAUUCUCCACACUGGGUCACAUCUGGCUGUAUCUUGAGACAGACCAUCCUACCUGGGGAACACAAAUUUCCACAUCUAGGACAAGUAAAACAACUGCCAUUAAAAUAUAACUUUCAUGAGGUAUCCUUCCACCUACAUAGAAAUAUCAAAGAUUAUCAGAAAAAGGAUGAGAAGAGCAUUCUCUAAGAGCAGAAAUUACUCAUAAGAGCAAAACAGAGGAAGGUAGGAAAAAUAAAUUCAGACUGGGAAUAAACAUUUCUGGAUUAUGUUACAAAUCAUGUGUAGUUGGGAAUAGUCACCUGCCUAAAAGGAUUAAUCAGUCUUCCUUUCUGGUUAGUGUACAUUCUGUUCAGACACUGCAAGGGUUAUUUGAGAGAGCUUGUCCCCUGAAAGCCCAUAACCUUUGUCUGCAGCUUGUUCAAUAGACAUAUGUAAUUAUUGUACAUUUGAGUUAGUCCUAUCAUGUCAUGUUGGCUGAGACGUCAAAUAAUUUCUAACUGGAUCAGUUACAAACCUUUCUUUUUCCUGUUUAAACCAUAAUCCCUGCAGUUUAGAUACGUUUCAUUUCCUAUGAGCUGUUAAUGAGGAUGAUGUUCUUCUUCAGAGUUGGAAUAAAGGAAAAGUUGUCUUAAAUAAGCACCUGGAGGCCUAAGAAAUCUCAUGGAACUGUUAGGGCCUAGAGAUAGGGCCUAAUCACUAUAAAAGAAGUAUCUUAAAAUAGUUAAGUUUCACACACCUUAACCACCAUGUUUUAUGUAAAUAGGAAAAUGCCAGUAACUAAACUCGUGUUUAAAAAUGUAACAUUUGAGAAGAUCCUAGGAUUGCUGCAUUUGUCAAUGGAUAACGUAAGUAGCAGUUCAUCAACCUGCAAACACUGUACCACAUUCACUGGUACACAGUUACAACCUAGAAACCAUCAGCAAUCUAGUGUGCAGCCCAAGAGACUGUCCCUUCUUUCAGUCAUUACUCCCUUCUCUGAUUUCUAACAGCAUAGGUUAGUUUUGUCUGCUUUUGUAUUUAAGUAAAUGGAACCAUUUUCUAUGUACUCAUUUGACUCUGACUUUCCUUCAUUACUGGUUGUGAGAUUCACCCAUUACAUAGUUUGAUUUUAAAUCUUGCUACUUUCAGGCUCUGUAACUUAGGGAAGUUGCUGUAGAAUCAGGGUAACAAUAGCUAAUACUUAGGAGUGAGUGCAAGAAUGAAAUAGGAUAACAGGAGAAGGCCUCUCAGCCAGUGCCUAUUUCUAACAGAUGCCAUUCCUAUCUCUCCUCCGAUAGCCUCUUCUGUCCCACCCUACUCCUUGACCUUGAUACCACACUGCAGCUUCCUCUAGCUCUUCUCACAUGGGUCUGGGCAUCUGCAGCAGUGGGCAGGCAACACCCAGGCUCCUGGAAGAUCUACUUUCCCUAAUAAAUAGGCUUCAUAAAGAACUCUGAGGAUAAAAAUAAAAGCCAUAGUCUGGGAGAAACUACUUGGUGAAGAACCUGUAUCCAGAAUGUAAAAAGAGACCUCUCAAAACUCAAAAGUAAGAGAAUAAAUACACAACUAAAAAACUGGGCUAAGAGUUUGAACAAAUAUUUCACCAAUGGAGGCAUGUGGAUGACAAAUAAACACAUGAAAAGAUGCUCAACAUCAUAAGUCAUUAGGAAAAUGCAAAGAUGUUGCAGAAAGUCAGGGACCCCGAAUGGAGGGACCGGCUGAAGCCAUGGCAGAAGAACAUAAAUUGUGAAGAUUUCAUGGACAUUUAUUAGUUCCCCAAAUUAAUACUUUUAUAAUUUCUUACGCCUGUCUUUACUGCAAUCUCUGAACAUAAAUUGUGAAGAUUUCAUGGACACUUAUCACUUCCCCAAUCAAUACCCUUGUGAUUUCCUAUGCCUGUCUUUCAUCUCUUAAUUCUUUCAUCUUCGUAAGCUGAGGAGGAUGUAUGUCACCUCAGGACCCUGUGAUGAUUGCAUUAACUGCACAAAUUGUUUGUAGAGCAUGUGUGUUUGAACAAUAUCAAGUCUGGGCACCUUAAGAACAGGAUAACAGCAAUGUUCAGGGAACAAGGUAGAUAACCUUAAAGUCUGGCUGCCUGUGGGCCAGGCGGAACAGAGCCAUAUUUCUCUUCUUUCAAAAGCAAAUAGGAGAAAUAUCACUGAAUUCUUUUUCUCAGGAAGGAACAUCCCUGAGAAAGACAAUGCAUCCCUAACAGGAGGCCUCUGAAAUGGUCGCUCUGGGGAUGGCUGUCUUUUAUGGUCGUAGAUAAGGGAUGAAAUAAGCUCCGGUCUCCUGUAGCACUCCCAGGCUUAUUAGGACGAGGAAAUUCCCACCUAAUAAAUUUUGGUCAGACCAGUUGUCUGCUCUCAAACCCUGUCUCCUGAUAAGAUGUUAUCAAUGACAAUGCCUGCCCGAAACUUCAUUAGCAAUUUUAAUUUUGCCCUGUUCCUGUGGUCCUGUGAUCUCACCCUGCCUCCAUUUGCCUUGUGAUAUUUUAUUACCUUGUGAAGCAUGUGAUCUCUGUGACCCACACCCUAUUUGUACACUCCCUCCCCUUUUGAAAAUCACUAAUAAAAACUUGCUGGUUUUGUGGCUUGGGGGGCAUCAUGGAACCUGCCGACAUGUGAUGUCUCCCCUGGACACCCAGCUUUAAAAUUUCUCUUUUGUACUCUCCCUUUAUUUCUCAGACUGGCCGACACUUAGGGAAAAUAGAAAAGAACCUACAUGAAAUAACGGGGGUGAAUUUCCCCCAACACAAAUUAAAACUACAGUGAGAUGCCACUGCGCAUCUAUUAGAAGGGCUAAAAUAAAAAAAAAAUAAAAAAAAAACUGACCAUACGAGGUGUUGGCGAGGAUGUGGAGGAACCAGAACUCUCAUGCAUGGCUUGUAGGGAGGUAAACUGAUACCACCCCUUUAAAAAACAGUUGGCAGUUUUUAAAAAAUAAAAACAUACACCAUAGGACCCCACCAUUACUCUCCUAGAUAUUUACCUAAGAGAAAUGAAAGCAUAUAUCUACACAAUGAUGUGUAAGCAAAUAGCAACUUUAUUCAUAAACUGGAAAAAACCAAAAUGUCUAUCAACAGAUGGAUGGAUAAAAAAUUUUGGUACAUCUUUACAAUGGAAUACUAUUCAACAAUAAAAAGGAAUUAACUAUGAAUAAACACAAAAUGGAUUUAAUUGGAAAAUAAUUUUGUUGAGAGAAAGAAGCUGGACAAAGAGUACAUACUCUAUCAUUCCAUUUAUGUAUGUUAGUAAAUGCAAAAUAAUCUGUAGUAACAGACAGCAGCAAAUCAGUGGUUGCCAAGGAGUGAAGGGGAUGGGCUGGGAGGUACCACAAGGGAUCAUGAGGAAACUUUUGCUGGUGAUGCAUAGUUUACUAUCUUGAUGUUGGUCAUAGUUUCAUGGUUGUAUACAUAUGUCAAAACUUAUGAACUUGUAUACAUUAAAUAUAUGCUCUUUACUCCUUGUCGAUUAUGCCUCAAUAAAGCUAUUACAAUUUUCUUUUAAGAAAAAAAGAGGACUGUGACGCUUUCAGGUCUGAGUGGUACAUUAAGCAUGUUCAAUAGUUAAACAGAACACUGUUUCAUUUGGUUACCAAAAUGCAAUUACUUUUUAAGAACAAUUACUAACUUGUGUUUCCUGCCCAUUUGGACUAUUCAUGAUCCAUUGCUUGGUUGCUUAGGGACUGCCAACCAAUAAAUAACCCUUCGGGAAGAUGACCACUCUCCAAAUCAGGCUUAGCAUGCCCAUUAAUUUUAGCCACCAAGUUCCUCUUCCUACCUUUGAAUUUGAAUAUGGAAAAAAAUGGCUCAUCAUGUCCAUUAAUUUGGUAUAAAACCAACUUUCGCCCUUUACCCACUCCCUUCUCCUCCCACUGAGACCUCUCUAUGUCCCUCUCUAAUCCUGACACAACCCAUUCAUUGAAGUAUCACAGUCCCAGGCAAUGUGUGUACACAGAAAGUUGAUUUCUGAGAAUUGUUUUUUUACAAACUUCAACAGAUUUCAAAAUUAGUUCAUUGCUGAGGAGAUCAGUCUGACUCAGGUUUAUGUGCAAACAAUAGACAUAGUUUAAAAAAAUCAUCAGGAACACCUAAGAUCAAAGCUGUUUUGUUCCAGCUGCUAAGCGGGAGAUUUUGUGGCAUCCAUUUUAGUCCCUUGGCAGUCAUAAUCCUGAGUUCUGUGCUGUGACAUAGAAGCAGUCAACGAGAUCACUGAAGGAGAAGCUAAUAGUACAGAAACUUCCAGUGUUCCCACAAAGAAGGGAAUUUGGUAUUAUAUUGUACACAGAAAAAAAUUUUUAAUAAAAAUCAAAAAGUAAGGCUUUGGUUAGAAAAACACUUAGUAAAACAGAGAGGAAUAGGCUUUAUGACCUGGAGUAUUAAGCCUUGUUUCAAAAAAUUGCAAAACCAAGAAAAUGAAAAUCGACAGGUAUAAAUACAGUAGAAAAUCUAAGGUAGAGUGACUCAGUUCUGACAGUUGUCUGAUAUAUAAAGAUACACAGGAUAGUCCCAUGGGAAUGAACAGGAAUCCUAGAUUCCUAGGCCUUGAGUUCAAAUUCUGUCUCCACUACUUACUAGAUAUGUGACCUUGAGUUACUUUUGCAAAGUUUUAUCUUCCUAUUCUAAAAAAUAAGGGUCAUAAAACUACCUACCUCUUAAGAUUGUUUGAGGUGAGCUAACACCAUAAAACAUUCAACAGAGUGUUUAGUUGUAAGGACUCAAUAAAUGUCAGCUUUAUUUUUAUGAAGUAUAACUGAGAUAUGCUCUAAGCAAUCAUCUUGUAUCAGAAUUACCCAAACUUGCCCAUCAUAACAAUCAGCUGGGGCUUUUAUGGAACAUACAGAUUCCAGGGCCCUGACUCAGACCUACUGAAACUGCAUCUCCAGAGGAGGGGCCCAGGACUCUAUUUAACAAGAGCCUCAGGGCUCUAGGCACAUUUGGGAAAUGGAGAUGAUGUUAGUAAAAUUUCAUUUCCCUGUAUCUAUAGGUCUCAAAUUUGAGGACACAUAACAAUCAUCUGGGGUCUGGUUAAAAUACACACUCAUAGCAUUCCUAUCCCCCAGAGAUUCUGAUUAAGGUCUAGGAUGGUGUCAGAACAAUUGGGUUUUAAACAAGCGCUCUCCUGGUAAUUCUGGGCAAAAGGGCUUUCAUCCUACAUUUUGGAAAACACUGCCCAACAUUGUGUUACCCUUAUUUAGACUAAAAAGAUAACUCUAGGAAUAGUCUCUAAUCUAGGAGAAAAUUUUCAAUAGCUUUGUUUCUGCUACCAGGUCAUGCAAUGUAUGAAUAAGAGGGAAUAAUUUAAUCUCUCUGCCAAGUAGUUCUUUUUCUCAUCCAUUAAAAUUGGUUCUUUCUAUGCCAGUUUCUUUGGCUUGAGGUUAAAAAGUCCAUUAUACAUUUGAUGCAUCUGUUCAGAGUUUCAUGAUUGUGCUAUGUCGGCCUUUUUGCGACCUCUGAUCACUUAGUCUGAUUUAGGGCCUGUAGGCACCCUGAAGCUAAGGACUUUGCUUGCUUAACUUGUGUUUCAUACUGGGUAUUUCUGAGUCAUUUCUGAUGAGCAGAGGGCUUGAGGGAAGCAUGAACAAAAGAAGUGAGAGCUGGUUGGGCACAUAAGCACUUGGUCCUGAUGGAGGCUUUGUGGCACCUGACUUGCCAGCUGCUUCAGUGCUUGUCCUCACAGUUCAGGAUUCACCUAAUGUGCUGAGAUAAAGCAGCAAACAGAUCCUGAGAGUAGAGUCAGGCUACACAGGCAUUAUAUGCAUGGGCUUUUGCAUGACUUUUGAUGGGUCAAAGAUAAAUGCUCAAGCUUGUGAGCAGCCAAGAGACAGGUCUGGAAGGAUAUACCAGUGUGUCAGAACUGGAAAGUGUUGCGAUCUGGAAGAGAAGCACAACUCCAGCAGAGAAUGGCAGGGAGCUUUUCUGUUAGUCCUGUGGAAUUCAACUAUGAACUGAGAAAUCAUCUCACUGGGACGCACUUGCAGUCAUCCACUUAAAGUUAAGAGCCAUAACAGAACAGGAUUUAGGGUAUAAGUAAAUAAAAAAUGUGCCACCAAUCUGGGGAAAUAUCUUGCUAAAUAAUUGCCAUCUUCCCUAUGUGUAUUAGUGCCCGUGAUCAAUAGACCUGGGUGUAGAUCAUUUUAUCCAUCUCUUUUGGAACAGAGUCACCUUAUUCUUAAAAGCCAACUCAGACACUCAGUCUCAUUUUUCAUAGUGUUCCAAUUCAAAACUUGACAGUUCUUGAAACUCUUCAAAACUAAUUCAGGAAAUUAUUUCUGUAGCUUUUUAAAUAUAUGAAGUGGACAAUAUAAAAAUUUGAAAUUUACCUUGGAUAAGCAGCAUCACUUAGACAGUGAGGGUGAAGAAUAAAAAUUUGGGACGCACUAAAGUCUACUCUUUUCUCCACUUCACAUUUAUUGGGAAUAUUCUGGAAAGUGGCUUUUGCCCGUGGUUCCUAAAUGUCUUCCCCCUGUGAGCUAUACCAGUCAUCAGGUGUGUUAUGUCCAUACAGCUUUCCUAAGAAAUGGAAAUUAAAGUGUCUUUCCAACUCCACAGGCACCAUAGCUGCUGAAUAAUAAAGAGGAUAAAUGGCUCACAUUUAGGAACUACUUACUAUAGGUACAAUUGGGAAUUGUCAGGAUGCAGGUCUUUUUACAAAAGUUCUAGCAGCUGCAUUUUACUAAAUGAAGGGUUUGUUGUUGUUGUUGUUGUUGUUGUUGUUGUUGUUGUUGUUAAUGGCCACACUGGUGUAUACCAAUAAACAGAAAAUCUCAUUAGUAUCCUUUCUUUUUCCCACACACCUUCUCUAUAUGGCUUAGAGCAAAGUGGGGAUUAAUUUGUUGUGUAUCAUGGGAAGGGAGGUAUUCAGAAAAUUAAAUCAUGGAUAAACUUGAAACAGACACAGUCAGAAGUAACCUUAUCAUUAAGUGACAUUUAUUACGUUCCCAUAUCACACAAUUCUAAUUUACAGAGCUCAUGCCAGCUUAUAAAUUUUAUGCAUUUUUUCCUCCCAAUCUUUCAUCUAUUUCUGUUUCCCUACAUACUAGUUAGCAAUGUUUUUAGCUUUAAGUAACAAAGCCCAACUAAAAGUAGCUUAAGUCAUAAGGAUAUUUAUUAUUUAUUUAAUGAGCAGUCUAGAGUGGUAUAGAUGGCAUCAUGGUUGUUUGGUACCUCCAAGAUGCCAAUCAUAGAUCUUUAUUCCUUUGCUUCACCAUUCUCAGUGUAGUGUUGGCCUAUUGUCCCCUUGGUUGUCAUUGUAUGUUCACAAGAUAGCACAAUUCCCGCAUCACAUCCUUACAUCAUUUUCAAUGCCAGGAAGCAGAAAUAUAAGGGGCAGUUGCAAAAAAAAAAGUGAUUUGGCACUGACUAGUUACAAGAGGAGCACUAACUCCGCAGGGUAGUAUAACUUGGCAAAUGUUAAAACAAUGAACAGUAAUAAUAUUGUACACUUUGUUUCAAGCAUUGUGCUUUACAAUUAUUAUCUUUUUAAUCUUCACAACAGUACUAUGAGAGUAAUACUAUGAAAAUCUUCUUUUUUUUUGAGACGGAGUCUUGCUCUCUUGCCAGGCUGGAGUGCAGAAGCAUGAUCUCAGUUCACUGCAACCUCCACCUCCCGGAUCCAAGCAAUUCAUCUGCCUCAGCUGAAAAUCCUCAUUUUAUAGCUAUUAAAAGAUGAUGUAGCAAUAUUAAAAAUGAUUUUUACAAAAAAAUUUUGACAUUUUAGCCUACCAUUCUAUAUAAAAUGUUUUAAUUUUGUCCUGAAUAUGGACAUGUGUGACUCAGAUCUACCUUCAGGGAAGGACCUGUUGCCUUAGCUCCUAAGAGUGUUGUUAUGAGACACCUUUCAGCUGGCAGCCCCUGGGGGGAGAGAACUGAUUCUCCCAGGCUUGCCUUCUCCCUCGGUGGCCAACAUCCAAUCACUGAUUGGGGGUAUACAGACCAGGUAUUCUGGCCCAAUGUGGGACAACUCUAAUGGGCCAGUUCAUCUAGACUCCCCCGUCUGCCCAUUCCUGAUUCCUCUUUCUUCUUUCUACAGGUCUUGAUCCUAAGGGUAUUUCCUGAUAAACAUCCUGAAUCCAACUCUGUCUUAGAACCUGCCUCCUAGAAAAAAAUCAAACUGUGACAACUUUUAAGAUCCCUUCCACCUCCUGUCUACAUGCAUUUUUAUUUUACAUUAUUGCAGACAUACUGAAGUACUACUUUUGUUAUAAUUUUUAAUCUUAAUGUUCUAUCAUGAUCAACUCCUCAUGUUGUUAAAUAGCCUUCAUAGUUACCUUUUUAAAAUUUAAAACUAAAGUAAUUUAACCAUAUUACAGAAUGUUUGAAAAAAAAUUACUCAUAAUCCCACUACCAAACAUAGUUGAUAAUUUUGACAUAUUUCCUGUUAUUUUUUCCCAAUGAAUAGUUUUGAUAAGGUUAUAAUCACAACUUAUAAGCAGCGCCCUUUUCCACAUUAUUUUAAAAUUCUUUAUUUAUUUACUUUUAUGAUCUCACUCCAGAAAGGAUUAAAAGCAGCCUAUAAAAUUACAUAAAUUCAGUAAAAGGGAAGCUAGGCAUCAGCAGGGGUCUUCUAUUCCUCAGGGAUUUAUGUAAACAUACAUCAAAUACUUGAACAUGUGGCAAAUGAGAAUCCAGAGCCCUUCUAAGAUUUUGAGAAUAUCUGACUUCUUCAUGUGUUUUUCUUAACUCCUUUGUCUGCCUAACAGUGAAAACUGGCUACCCAAGUCUUGCCCAUAUCAAUCCGGGUGAUAAGCACAGUACUUUUACUAGUUGCCACACAUUCACACACUCAAAACCUACGAAAUACACUAAAGAAAAAAAAUAAAACCCACUUUAACUAGACAUUUUGUGACUCUGCUCACUUCACUAAAGAUUUGGAGUUCCCAUCUUUCUGUCUCCCUCUUCCUUCCCCAUUUGCUGUUGUAACAGACAAAUUCUUCCCCUCCCCUACUGCAGCAUCAGUUCCACCUAAUUUCAGGCCCUUCAGACUGAGCUUUUGCCCCAAAGCAGCUUAUUUCACCAUUCAUUUCCUCAAUAUGGGCAGGUUUUGCCCUACAAGGAAUGCUGUCUUUUUAAACAUUGAGAAAAGAAAAAUAUUUUUGGAUCUCCACAUUAAAAUAAGAGAGUGAUGGAAAAUGAGAGAGUAUGAUGCCAAAAGAGAGGCUGGUCACAAAGUAUAGGUCAAGCAGUUUCUGAAUUUGAAAAGUUGUGAGGGAGGGCAGAGGAAGGAUUGAAAUCAAGCAACAUGACAAAGAAGUAUCUGAAUAACUUAGCAGCUGGUGGGACCUGUGGAACCGAAGAGAUGGGGAAGUAAAGUUACACCAGAAUUAUGAAUCAGGGAUAUUUAGGAAAGUAGCCCCAUCAUGGGAUGGAAUAAGAAACUUAGGAAGGAGAGUCACUUUGGAGGGGAUGAUGGCGCAUUUACCUUCUCAGGUAAGGAUCCUGCAGAAUGUGUUUGUAAUUGGAGUGUGGAUGAAUGGGACCUUAGGAAGGAUAUUGAGACUGAUCUGACUCCUGGCUGCCUAUGAACAUCUGAGGGGGACUACAGAAUGACACUGUAACUAUAAAAACCAGUCCAAAGAGAAGGGAGAUUUGUAAUAGGGUGCAGGGCAGGAUGAAGUAAAACAAUUUUCUGGGUAAGCAUCAGGUGAUGGAGUGAUGUGGGGGAGAUGGAUUAGUGGAGCAAGUGAAAGACUGUGACUUCUAGAGUGUCCACAAUUAGGGCUUUUCUUUUCUGUUAUUUUGCCUGUCUGAGUGUUGGUAUUAUUUUGUGAAAGGGGGAGGCAUCAUGCUGGGGAUGAAAAAUGAUUUUCUGGUACUUGCUGCGGCUAACUCUGUUACCAUAGCAACUGACUUAAUCAGCCAGGAGGGAGGAUUUUACUAGAGACAGUCUAUACUGGACUGUUGUGAUUUCAAAGGGAAAUAUUUACAACUCUGUCAGUAUAGCUGUUCCAGUUUAGAUUGUGACAGCAUGGCAGGUUAAACUCUAUUUCAAAGAUUUCUAAAGAGUUUAAUCAUUAUUGACCCAAAUUAACCCUCUUUUUGACCAGUUACCAAAAGCAAAACCUUGCAGUAUGUACAGCCCAUGGUGGUUGGGGUUAGUUUGUCUUUUUUUUUUUUCGCUCUGUUGAUAGUGAAAUUGGUUUGUCCACUUUGGGGUUUAAACCAAACCAAAAUACUAAAAUUAUUGUAUGAGACCGAUGCGGGGAGCUAUGGACAGUUUUUGUCUUAUCUCAUUCAGAACUAAGAGGGUCUCCUUAUUCCCCCCCACAAAAAGCCUCUCCAUCAAGCAUUGAUGAGAAAUAGAUAUUUCACUGGAGGCUUGGUGGGAGGAGUUGGUUUAUUUCACAGAGCUCGGAGCCUUUUACCUCCUCCCCAUGUGAAGACAAUAUAUUAUCUUGUCUUUCAUUACAGCAGGGGGCUGAGUCUCUGCUUCACUUCCAUCUCCUUUCUCCAGCCUUUCCUCCUUCUAUAUCUCCAUUUUUAGAUAGAACUAUAGGAUGUGGUACAGACUCCUCCAACUGGGGCUCCCCACAUUCAUUUCUUAAAACCGUCUAUAAAAGACAGCCAGUUAGUGACUUCAUUUGUUCAUGGCAAAUCAAAUCUUUCAUUUACUAGAAUCUUCCUUCCUUAGAUAAUACAGAGUAAUUAUAAAUAAAAGUGUUUUCUCUGUGUACUUGCUGUUAAAAAUAUAUAUAUAAGUUCUUUUAGGCUUCUGCAUGCCUUUGGUUUGAAAGCCAGAUUUUCCUGACUUUUGAAGUGAAGCACCUCUCUAGAUUCUGGCAAUUACAAAAUCUGGAUAUACCAUUUUGCACCAAAAGUGUAAAGAAUAAGUGUACAGGUCUGAGCUUUCAGCCUCAGAUUUUCUCUCCUCUAUUAAGAUUGACUCUGACCUUAGCUAAGUGUAACACUAAUUAUUACAGGAUUUAAAUUAUUGUUUUACUUCUCCCUUCAUCCCCCAGUGGUAUUUCCCAUUUUGAAAGAUGAUUUUGUUAAUUAAUCUUAAAUGGUGAAACAUUUGUGUGUGAAGAGAGAUUUGAAAGGGGCGAUAUUGAGAACUCUUGCACAUUCCCAGCUCCAUUUCUGGAAUCAGUACUACUCCACUCCCAAACAUAGUUCAUCAGAGAAUUACACAGAAUCAGCUUAGAAACACUCAUCACUGAACUUUUCAAAACUUUCUCCCAAACUUUCACCUAAAACUAAAGAUCUCUCAUCCAUUAUUUAUUCAUCUGUGUAUUUGUUGAGACAUUGUUACAGACUUUGGACAUCAUGGAUAUACGUUAUGGGCAUUGUUCAUUUUAUACUUGAAUUUGCUUCUGGCAGAGUUACCAUUUUAUUAUACUUACAUGAAAACAAUACACUCAGAAUCUGAGGUUCUUUGGAUUAACAAAAAAGCAUGACCCUUUUCUUUUUUGAGAAAGUUUAUGACUACCUCAAGAUUUUAAAAAUAUAUUUGGAAUGUUAGAAAUUUUCCCUCUCAGUUUUUUUGAGCUAUUACUGACAUACAAAAAGCUAUACACAUUUAAUAUAUACAACUUGAUGAAUUUGGAUAUAAGCCUAUGCCCAUGACUACAAUCUAUGCCAUCAAUCUAUACCUUACCCCCAAAAGUGUCCUCCCGUUAUUUUUAUUUAUAAUUAUUUGUGUGUGUGACAUGAACACUUAACAUAAGAUCUAGUCUUUUAGCAAAUUUUUAAGUAUAAAAUACAGUAUUAUUAACUACUGGCACAGUGCUGGAUAGUAGAUCUCUAGGAUUUCAUCUUAUAUAAACAAAACUUUGUACCCUUUAACCAAUACCUCCCUGUUUCCCCUCCUCUCUCAGCGACUAACAACCACCAUUCUUGGAUCCAGUGCCUUGAUCUUGGACUUCCCAUCCUCCUGAACUGUGAAAAAUAAAUUUCUAUUGUUUACAAAUUGCCCAGACCAUGAUAUUUUAUUAUAGGAGCACAAAUGGACUAAGACAACACAAAAGCAACCUAAUGUCCAUUGACAGAUGAGUGAAUAAAGAGCUCUGCUUCUAUGAGUUUUACUAUUUUAGAUUCAUCAGCUAGUGAUAUGAUGUAGUAUUUGGCCUUCUGUAUCUGCCUUAUUUCACUUAACAUGAUGUCCUUCAGGUUCAUUCAUGUUUUCAUAAAUCAUAGGAUUUUCUUAUUUUUUAAGCCUGAAUAAUAUUUCAUUGUAUAUGUAUAUCACAUUUUCUUUACCCAUUUAUCUGUCAAUGGACAUUUAGGUUACUUCCAUGUUUUCUUAGUCCAUUUUUGCUGCUAUAAUAAAAUGCCACAAGUCCAAGAUCAAGACAUUGGUGAUGGCUGCUCUCUGCUUCCAAGAUGGUGCCUUGUUGCUGCAUCCUCCAGAGGGAAUGAAUGCUGUGUCUUUACAUGAUGAAAAGGACAUGAGGGCAAAGGAGAGGAAAACUGCUCCCUAGCACCUCUUUUAUCAAGUCAUUAAUCCCAUUUGUGAGAGCUCUGCCCUCUUGACUUCUUAAUCACCUCUUAAAGGCCUCACCUCUUUUUUUCUUUUUUUUUUUUUGAGAUGAAGUCUCACUCUGUCGCCCAGGCUGGAGUGCAGUGGCAUGGUCUUGGCUCACUGUAAGCUCCACCUCCCGGGUUCACACCAUUCUCCUGCCUCAGCCUCCCGAGUAGCUGGGACUAUAGGCGACUAUCACAUUGGCGAUUACAUUUCAACAUACAAAUUUUAAACACUGAAACUAUAGCAUGUGGCUUGGCUAUUGUGAAUAAUGUUAUAAUGAACAUGGGUCUGCAGGUAUCUCUUUAACACCUAUAGUGUCUUUUAAUUUUAAUUGUCUGGACUAAAGUAUUUUAGGAGCCCUUAUAUUUAUUUCCCUUCUAAAUGCAGAUAUGGUGCUAGAAAUAAAGCUACAAAAAUAACACAGAUCAAGACCCAAGCUCUCUUUACAAGAAACUUACACCAAAGUAGGGGAGACAGAUAAGUAAAUAACCAUCUUGAUGCAGUGUAAGAGGGGCAAUGACAGCAGUAACCCCAGAAUGUUAAGGGAAACAUGCAAGGGUGACUACCUGGCCUGGAAAGGUGGGAGGGAAUCAGGAAGUUUUCUUAGGGGAGUUAACACUAGUGUAAAAGUUCCCAGAUGACUUUGCCUGGUCAGGUAAGGGUAGGAAUGUAUAAGUGUGAUCCAGACUAAAGAAACAGCAAUAGGACAAAGAAAAUGUUAAUUGGCAGAUGGAACCAUGAUAUAAAUAAAUGAAACUUACUGAGAACCUAUUAAUGUGCCAGGUACUGUGUGCUACCAAUUUCUAUGUUAUUCGUAAUUCAAAACUCUGUAGGGCACAUCAUUGUUAUUCCUCUUUUAUAGGUGAGAAAACAAAGGUUUGGCAAGGAUGAGUACUUGCUGCAGGUCCAACAGUUAUGACUGGACUGGAACUUCAUCCCAGCUUGGCCUAACUUCAGAGGAGUUUCAUUCAACUUAUAUAGAUUCGAUGUGAAAUGGGAAUGCAAGAAGGCAUAGAUAUUUCUGGUUGAUUCAAUUUCCUGAUAAUUCCCAAUUACAAUAAAAGAAAUGGUUUCAUAAGGA